GAUGAACGCUGGCGGCGUGCCUAAUACAUGCAAGUCGAGCGAACAGACGAGGAGCUUGCUCCUCUGACGUUAGCGGCGGACGGGUGAGUAACACGUGGAUAACCUACCUAUAAGACUGGGAUAACUUCGGGAAACCGGAGCUAAUACCGGAUAAUAUAUUGAACCGCAUGGUUCAAUAGUGAAAGACGGUUUUGCUGUCACUUAUAGAUGGAUCCGCGCCGCAUUAGCUAGUUGGUAAGGUAACGGCUUACCAAGGCAACGAUGCGUAGCCGACCUGAGAGGGGGAUCGGCCACACUGGAACUGAGACACGGUCCAGACGCCUACGGGAGGCAGCAGUAGGGAAUCUUCCGCAAUGGGCGAAAGCUUGACGGAGCAACGCCGCGUGAGUGAUGAAGGUCUUCGGAUCGUAAAACUCUGUUAUUAGGGAAGAACAAAUGUGUAAGUAACUAUGCACGUCUUGACGGUACCUAAUCAGAAAGCCACGGCUAACUACGUG
Molecule: ribosomal RNA, 497 nt
Filed under: uncultured bacterium
Lineage: Bacteria
Description: partial 16S ribosomal RNA
Rfam family: Bacterial small subunit ribosomal RNA
Source: RNAcentral